Molecule: ribosomal RNA, 388 nt
Filed under: uncultured bacterium
Lineage: Bacteria
Description: bacterial SSU rRNA
Rfam family: Bacterial small subunit ribosomal RNA
Source: RNAcentral
AUUGAACGCUGGCGGCAUGCCUUACACAUGCAAGUCGAGCGGCAGCGCGGGGGCAACCCUGGCGGCGAGCGGCGGACGGGUGAGUAAUACAUCGGAACGUGUCCUUUCGUGGGGGAUAACCAGUCGAAAGACUGGCUAAUACCGCAUGAGAUCUCACGAUGAAAGCGGGGGACCGCAAGGCCUCGCGCGAUUGGAGCGGCCGAUGUCGGAUUAGCAGUUGGCGGGGUAAAAGCCCACCAAGGCGACGAUCCGUAGCUGGUUUGAGAGAACGACCAGCCACACUGGGACUGAGACACGGCCCAGACUCCUACGGGAGGCAGCAGUGGGGAAUCUUGGACAAUGGGGGCAACCCUGAUCCAGCCAUGCCGCGUGUGUGAAGAAGGCCUGG